This 391-nucleotide ribosomal RNA is filed under the name uncultured Synechococcus sp. RNAcentral describes it as "bacterial SSU rRNA". It matches the Rfam family "Bacterial small subunit ribosomal RNA", at positions 388 to 796 of the family's 1533-position model. Lineage: Bacteria; Bacillati; Cyanobacteriota; Cyanophyceae; Synechococcales; Synechococcaceae. The record is from RNAcentral.
GUCCCCAAACCGCGCGUGAGGGAGAGGCCUUUGGGUUGUAACUCCUUUUCUCAGGGAAGAAGAACUGACGGUACCUGAGGAAUCAGCCUCGGCUAACUCCGUGCCAGCAGCCGCGGUAAUACGGAGGAGGCAAGCGUUAUCCGGAAUUAUUGGGCGUAAAGCGUUCGUAGGCGGCGUUUCAAGUCUGCUGUCAAAGGCCGAGGCUCAACUUCGGAAAGGCAGUGGAAACUGAAAAGCUAGAGGUCGGUAGGGGCAGAGGGAAUUCCCAGUGUAGCGGUGAAAUGCGUAGAUAUUGGGAAGAACACCGGUGGCGAAAGCGCUCUGCUGGGCCGAACCUGACGCUGAGGGACGAAAGCUAGGGGAGCGAAAGGGAUUAGAACCCCGGUGUCAC